UGGCCCACUUGUUCUUUUCNGUUUUUC
Molecule: non-coding RNA, 27 nt
Filed under: Mus musculus (house mouse)
Lineage: Eukaryota; Metazoa; Chordata; Mammalia; Rodentia; Muridae
Source: RNAcentral